UACGAAGGGGGCUAGCGUUGCUCGGAAUUACUGGGCGUAAAGGGCGCGUAGGCGGAUUGCUAAGUUAGAGGUGAAAGCCCAGGGCUCAACCCUGGAAUUGCCUUUAAUACUGGCAGCCUUGAGUAUGGCAGAGGUGUGUGGAACUCCGAGUGUAGAGGUGAAAUUCGUAGAUAUUCGGAAGAACACCAGUGGCGAAGGCGACACACUGGGCCAUUACUGACGCUGAGGCGCGAAAGCGUGGGGAGCAAACAGG
Molecule: ribosomal RNA, 253 nt
Filed under: uncultured bacterium
Lineage: Bacteria
Description: partial 16S ribosomal RNA
Rfam family: Bacterial small subunit ribosomal RNA
Source: RNAcentral